RNAcentral lists this long non-coding RNA (973 nucleotides) under Heterocephalus glaber (naked mole-rat). Its description in RNAcentral is "lncRNA (ENSHGLG00000037086.1)". Lineage: Eukaryota; Metazoa; Chordata; Mammalia; Rodentia; Bathyergidae. The record is from RNAcentral.
CUGGACCAACCUUCCAGAGUCCGGUAGCUGCACAGCCCCAGAUCAUCCGGCCACGGACUGAUCCGGGAGGCCAGAAAGCCGGCAAGACGGAAUUGCCCGUCUUGGACGGUGCCGGCAGCGGACCGUCUGGGCGUCGGUUUGUGUCACUGGCAACCAUCACUCGCACUUAAACCGGGCCCAGGUGCCCAUAGAAGGCAGAAAUGGUGGACACGGAUCGCUCUCAAGGAUGCUCCGCUCCGAGCCCGUCACCUAGGAUCAUCUGGGCUGUUUCUGCUGUCCGGGGACGCCGCCGUGGAAGCGAUUCGGCAGGGCGCUCGCCACCAACCGCUCUCCAAGUUUGUGCUGAAUGGAGGCAAAAGGUUGGCUUUUCGCUUGCGGGGUGGUGGAAGGAAGCAGAACUUUGAUGACACUUCUCGGUCGGCUCUUGGCGUGUCUGUGACUGCCUUCGCUGAGAGGUGCGCUGCGGGUGUCCGGCGAGGAAGAAAGAAGGGUUCGCAGCGCGCGGGGCCUGGGCGUGGAGGUGCGCUUUGCGGCUCCGCUCCGCCCCGGGCUGCAGGGCCUGGACGGUUUCUGUUCAGUAGGGUGUGUGUUACGAGCGUGGAUAGGACAGAGAUCCAGACACAAAGACAGACAAGGCAUCAGUUACUGCAGUGGGCUGGAUCUGUGUGAACUCCGAGAGCGAGAUUCGGUAACUGGGUGCAGCUGGUGCGUGUGGCUCGGUGCACAUCGGAGUCUGUGCGUUCGAGGCUUGUGUGCGGAACUGGUUGUCCACGUGUUUCGACUGGGGUUGCCCGCGCUUGUGCCUCGGACAGCAGCUAUCAGACAAAGAAACCCACAUUUGAACCAGUGAUCUGUGAGAAGUGGGAUUCAAACUGGUGUGUUUGUCCCCCUUGAAAAGCAGGAAGAGGAAGGCGCUGGAGUGGUUUCUUUCAAAAUAAUAACAGAGCUUUCGUGACUAUUUCUGUGAGUGAGG